This 361-nucleotide RNase P RNA is filed under the name human gut metagenome. RNAcentral's name for it is "Bacterial RNase P class A". It matches the Rfam family "Bacterial RNase P class A". Rfam says of the family: Ribonuclease P (RNase P) is a ubiquitous endoribonuclease, found in archaea, bacteria and eukarya as well as chloroplasts and mitochondria. Its best characterised activity is the generation of mature 5'-ends of tRNAs by cleaving the 5'-leader elements of precursor-tRNAs. The record is from RNAcentral.
AGUAAGCCAGGUGGCUGCGUGCGGCUCGACCCGCAUGAGGAAAGUCCGAGCUCCACAGGGCAGGGUGCCGGAUAACGUCCGGCGGAGGCGACUCCAGGGAAAGUGCAACAGAAAUAUACCGCCCGCGUUCGCGCAGGUAAGGAUGGAAAGGCGAGGUAAGAGCUCACCGGCGGCUUGGCGACUUGACCGCCCUGUAAACCCCACCCGGUGCAAGAUUGGAAUGAGAGCGCUUGCGGUUUUCCGCAGAAAUGGCUGCCCGUCAUGCUCUCGGUAAUCGCGUGAGCGCAUCGGCAACGAUGCGCCAAGAUAGAUGGCCACACAGCGGAGCAAUUCGCUGACAGAACUCGGCUUACGGCUUGCU